GGUCUGGCGGCGAGUGGCGAACGGGUGAGUAAUAUAUCGGAACGUACCCAGUAGCGGGGGAUAACUACUCGAAAGAGUAGCUAAUACCGCAUACGCCCUACGGGGGAAAGGGGGGGAACUCUUCGGAGACCUCUCACUAUUGGAGGAGCCUGCGUUGGAUUAGCUUGUUGGUGAGGUAAAGGCUCACCAAGGCGACGAUCCAUAGCUGGUCUGAGAGGACGAUCAGCCACACUGGAACUGAGACACGGUCCAGACUCC
RNAcentral lists this ribosomal RNA (258 nucleotides) under uncultured bacterium. RNAcentral's name for it is "partial 16S ribosomal RNA". It matches the Rfam family "Bacterial small subunit ribosomal RNA", at positions 82 to 339 of the family's 1533-position model. The record is from RNAcentral.